Molecule: ribosomal RNA, 330 nt
Filed under: Salmonella enterica subsp. enterica
Lineage: Bacteria; Pseudomonadati; Pseudomonadota; Gammaproteobacteria; Enterobacterales; Enterobacteriaceae
Description: partial 23S ribosomal RNA
Rfam family: Bacterial large subunit ribosomal RNA
Source: RNAcentral
UAAGCCUGUGAAGGUGGCCUGUGAGGGUUGCUGGAGGUAUCAGAAGUGCGAAUGCUGACAUAAGUAACGAUAAAGCGGGUGAAAAGCCCGCUCGCCGGAAGACCAAGGGUUCCUGUCCAACGUUAAUCGGGGCAGGGUGAGUCGACCCCUAAGGCGAGGCCGAAAGGCGUAGUCGAUGGGAAACGGGUUAAUAUUCCCGUACUUGGUGUUACUGCGAAGGGGGGACGGAGAAGGCUAUGUUGGCCGGGCGACGGUUGUCCCGGUUUAAGCGUGUAGGUGUGUGUUCCAGGUAAAUCCGGUUCACUUUAACACUGAGGCGUGAUGACGAGG